RNAcentral lists this ribosomal RNA (589 nucleotides) under Escherichia fergusonii. RNAcentral's name for it is "bacterial LSU rRNA". It matches the Rfam family "Bacterial large subunit ribosomal RNA", at positions 1078 to 1668 of the family's 2925-position model. The record is from RNAcentral. Lineage: Bacteria; Pseudomonadati; Pseudomonadota; Gammaproteobacteria; Enterobacterales; Enterobacteriaceae.
GGAAGGCCCAGACAGCCAGGAUGUUGGCUUAGAAGCAGCCAUCAUUUAAAGAAAGCGUAAUAGCUCACUGGUCGAGUCGGCCUGCGCGGAAGAUGUAACGGGGCUAAACCAUGCACCGAAGCUGCGGCAGCGACGCUUAUGCGUUGUUGGGUAGGGGAGCGUUCUGUAAGCCUGUGAAGGUGUGCUGUGAGGCAUGCUGGAGGUAUCAGAAGUGCGAAUGCUGACAUAAGUAACGAUAAAGCGGGUGAAAAGCCCGCUCGCCGGAAGACCAAGGGUUCCUGUCCAACGUUAAUCGGGGCAGGGUGAGUCGACCCCUAAGGCGAGGCCGAAAGGCGUAGUCGAUGGGAAACAGGUUAAUAUUCCUGUACUUGGUGUUACUGCGAAGGGGGGACGGAGAAGGCUAUGUUGGCCGGGUGACGGUUGUCCCGGUUUAAGCGUGUAGGCUGGUUUUCCAGGCAAAUCCGGAAAAUCAAGGCUGAGGCGUGAUGACGAGGCACUACGGUGCUGAAGCGACAAAUGCCCUGCUUCCAGGAAAAGCCUCUAAGCAUCAGGUAACAUCAAAUCGUACCCCAAACCGACACAGGUGGUC